GACGAACGCUGGCGGCGUGCUUAACACAUACAAGUCGAACGCUGAAGCUCAGCUUGCUGGGUGGAUGAGUGGCGAACGGGUGAGUAACACGUGAGUAACCUGCCCUCUUCUUUGGGAUAACGCCCGGAAACGGGUGCUAAUACUGGAUAUUCACUGAUUCUCGCAUGGGGGUUGGUGGAAAGGUUUUUUCUGGUGGGGGAUGGGCUCGCGGCCUAUCAGCUUGUUGGUGGGGUGAUGGCCUACCAAGGCUUUGACGGGUAGCCGGCCUGAGAGGGUGACCGGUCACAUUGGGACUGAGAUACGGCCCAGACUCCUACGGGAGGCAGCAGUGGGGAAUAUUGCACAAUGGGCGAAAGCCUGAUGCAGCGACGCCGCGUGAGGGAUGGAGGCCUUCGGGUUGUAAACCUCUUUCGCUCAUGGUCAAGCCGCAGCUUUGGGUUGUGGUGAGGGUAGUGGGUAAAGAAGCGCCGGCUAACUACGUG
RNAcentral lists this ribosomal RNA (482 nucleotides) under uncultured bacterium. Its description in RNAcentral is "partial 16S ribosomal RNA". It matches the Rfam family "Bacterial small subunit ribosomal RNA", at positions 28 to 507 of the family's 1533-position model. The record is from RNAcentral.